CCUACGGGGGGCAGCAGUGAGGAAUAUUGGUCAAUGGCCGUAAGGCUGAACCAGCCAAGUCGCGUGAAGGAAGAAGGAUCUAUGGUUUGUAAACUUCUUUUAUAGGGGAAUAAAGGUAUCCACGUGUGGAUAUUUGCAUGUACCCUAUGAAUAAGCAUCGGCUAACUCCGUGCCAGCAGCCGCGGUAAUACGGAGGAUGCGAGCGUUAUCCGGAUUUAUUGGGUUUAAAGGGUGCGUAGGUUGUUUUUUAAGUCAGCGGUGAAAGUUUGUGGCUCAACCAUAAAAUUGCCGUUGAAACUGGAAGACUUGAGUGUGUUUGAGGUAGGCGGAAUGCGUGGUGUAGCGGUGAAAUGCAUAGAUAUCACGCAGAACUCCGAUUGCGAAGGCAGCUUACUAAACUGUGACUGACAUUGAUGCUCGAAAGUGUGGGUAUCAAACAGGAUUAGAUACCCGUGUAGUC
Molecule: ribosomal RNA, 460 nt
Filed under: uncultured bacterium
Lineage: Bacteria
Description: partial 16S ribosomal RNA
Rfam family: Bacterial small subunit ribosomal RNA
Source: RNAcentral